Molecule: ribosomal RNA, 311 nt
Filed under: uncultured eukaryote
Lineage: Eukaryota
Description: partial large subunit ribosomal RNA
Rfam family: Eukaryotic large subunit ribosomal RNA
Source: RNAcentral
AUAUCAUUAAGCGGAGGAAAAGAAAUUAACGAAGAUUGCCUUAGUAGCGGCGAGCGAAGCGGCAAGAGUCCAAGUUUAAAAUCUGAGGUGUUCCACCUCCGAAUUGUAAUCUAAAGAGCGUAGCAAAAGGGGAGGUUGAAGCAUAAGUGCCAUGGAACUGGCUGUCAAAGAGGGUGAAAAUCCCGUGCUUGGCUUCGACUGAACCGAAUGCUUUGUUUCGAAGAGUCGGGUUGUUUGGGAUUGCAGCCCUAAAUGGGAGAUAAACUUCUUCUAAGACUAAAUAUUGAUGGGAGACCGAUAGCGCACAAGUA